This 17828-nucleotide long non-coding RNA is filed under the name Populus trichocarpa (black cottonwood). RNAcentral describes it as "long non-coding RNA (PTRI_LNC004097)". The record is from RNAcentral. Lineage: Eukaryota; Viridiplantae; Streptophyta; Magnoliopsida; Malpighiales; Salicaceae.
GAAAGGAAGUGGGUUGUUUGAAGAAGUUGGAAAGUUUGGUAUGCCAUUUUGAAGGUUACUCAGACUACGUGGAGUUUAUCAAAUCUCGGGAUGAAACCAAAUCACUAACCACAUACCAAAUUCUUGUAGGACCACUGGAUAAGUAUCGUUAUGGUUAUGGUUAUGAUUAUGAUAAUGAUGGUUGCAGAAGGAAAACAAUUGUUUGGGGUAACUUGAGUAUCGACAGAGAUGGAGGUUUUCAGGUCAUGUUUCCAAAGGACAUUCAACAAUUGACUAUUGAUAAUAAUGAUGAUGCAACAAGUUUAUGCGAUUUUUUAUCUCUAAUAAAGAAUGCAACUGAACUGGAGGCUAUCAAGAUUUUUAGUUGCAAUAGCAUGAAGAGCUUGGUUUCAUCUUCUUGGUUCCGCUGUACUCCGCUACCAUCUCUAUCUUACAACGGUAUAUUUUCUGGUCUUAAACAGUUUAAUUGUUCUGGUUGUAAGAGCAUGAAGAAGUUGUUCCCUCUUGUCUUGCUGCCAAGCCUCGUAAACCUGGAAAAGAUUACAGUUAAAGGUUGUGAGAAAAUGGAGGAGAUAAUAGAUGAAACAAGACCAGAUGAAGAGGGGGUUAUGGGUGAAGAAACCAGCAGCAGCAAUAUCGAAUUCAAACUCCCAAAGUUAAGAUAUCUGAAAUUGGAGGGAUUACCAGAACUGAAAAGGAUUUGUAGUGCAAAACUGAUUUGCGAUUCUAUCGGAGUAAUUGACGUAAGAAAUUGCGAGAAGAUGGAGGAGAUAAUAAGUGGAACAAGAUCAGAUGAAGAAGGGGUUAUGGGUGAAGAAAGCAGCAGCAGUAGCAUCACCGAUCUCAAACUCACAAAAUUAAGUUCUCUAUCAUUUAUUGAAUUACCAGAACUGGAAAGCAUUUGUAGUGCAAAACUGAUUUGCGAUUCUCUCAAAGAGAUUGCAGUUUAUAAUUGUAAGAAGCUGAAAAGGAUGCCAAUUUGUCUUCCGUUGCUUGAAAAUGGCCAGCCAUCUCCUCCCCCUUCUCUUGAAGUAAUCUAUGCAACGCCAAAAGAAUGGUGGGAGUCAGUAGUGGAUUGUGAGAAGCUGAGGAGGUUGCCAAUUUGUCUUCCGUUGCUUGAAAAUGGCCAGCCAUCUCCUCCCCCUUCUCUUAAAUACAUCAGGGUAGAUUCAGAAGAAUGGUGGGAGUCAGUAGUGGAGUGGGAGCAUCCUAACGCUAAGGAUGUCCUUCGUCCCUUUGUACAGUAGUCAGUAGUCAGAUUUUGAAUGAGUGACAACAGUACUGCCCUUAAUAUAAUAUUAAAUUAAGAGUAAGCAUUGUUGUUUUAAUUGGAUUAAGCUUAAGCUAUGUGUCUACUUAAUGACUGAUGUGUUCAUUAUAUUACCUGGAAGACAUUUAUUUAGAGAGUAAAACAUCAAAUGCAAGACAGUGGUGGAGUGGGAGCUUCCUCCGUCCCUUUAUGGAGUUUUCAUACGUAAACAUUCAUGUGAAACUCUUGUGAUUAAAAGUAGCUCAUUGAUAUUAAAAUUAAUUAUUUUUUUUUUGUAGUUAGAACAGUUGUCAAUUAAGAUUUUUUUUUUCUCUAUCAAAAUCUGACCACUCUUUUCCUCUCUAGAAUUAAAAAUCUAAAACUAAAAAAAAAAAAUUAGACUAAAAUUGUCUUUUUGAAAAUUUGAGGGAUUGAAUAUUUAUAACUUGAAAAGCAUGAGGACCAAAAUGAACUUUUCAUGCUUAUUUUUAAAUUACCACCCAUUUUAUCGAUCCAUUUCUUUUAAUUUGAUUCUUUUUCUUUCAAUCUUAUAUGGGCUCAACAAAUUUAAAGUAAUUGUGUUUAAAUCUUAUAUGAAUAGUGUUUUGGUUCUGCAUUGUAUAUGCGACGACGCAUUGAAUUUCCUAUAAUAAUUAGAGUCAUUGCAAUUUGCAAGCAACUUUAUGUUUUUUUGAUCUAAAGGAAUAGACUGAACCAUAUUCACCUAAUCCUCAGAAAAAAAUGUGUCGAAUUGUCAAGAACACCAGAAUGUUCUUCUGCCUUUAGUGUCGUCUGCACUUGAUGAAUUGAAAUACCAAAUGCAUAAAGAAUGGGAAAUUUUACGAUUUUAUAAUCUAUUUUUACCAUUUAAAUUUAUAUUAUAUUUUUCAUAUCAUAUAAAAAAUAUAUUUUUAACAACUUUAUUACGUUCAAAGUAACACGCCGUCAUCUUCUCAAUGAUAUUACACAUGCCUGCGACAAAUGUGUGGUUUGGCCUUUACCACAUCUUUUAUUUUCUCCUCCUUAUUUUGUCUCUCUUUUCAUAGAAAAAUAAAAAAUUGUACUUUUAUUUUGUUUUUGUAUUUAAUUUAUUUUUUAUAUUUUUAAUUGUUAUAUAUUUUAUUUUAUUUUAAAAGUUUUUCCUUCAAUUUCAUACCUAUCAUUCUUUUAAUUGCUAUUUUUUAAUUAUUUUUCUAAUUACAUUUGGUUUUUAAUUUAAUCUUUUAGCAUUUGAUUUCAAAAUAUUUUUAUAUCAAAUUUAGUCAUUAUUUUUUUUUAUUAUUAUUUUGUUUUGAAGCCUUUUAUUUUGUAUUUUUUUUUCAAAUUCAUCCCUCAUUAUUUUGUUGAUUUAUAAUUUUGCUUUUUUAUUUUUUAGAGUUUGUUUUCUAUGUGGUUGGUCCCUAGCUCAUGAGCUUUUUUUAUUGUAUUUUUUUUAAAUCUAUCUCUCACUAUUUUGUUGAAUCUGAUCUAUAUCUUAGGCUUAUUUUUUUAAAAUUGAAUUUUUUUUCUCUUUCAUCUUUAUAUAUUUUUGAUUUAUUGGAGGUUAGUUUUCAUACCUUUAUUUUCAACUUCUUUUAUGUUUAAUUAUCUUAAUUUUAUGCUCAUAUUUAUGAAUUUAAUGUGUUGACAGGAGCGAAAUAGAUGAAAAAAAUUUAACUUAGAAUGUGAAAAAUCUUAAAUAUUACGGUGCAAUAAUACUGCACUAUCAAACAAGUGAAAUGAGACUAUUCAACACUUCAAGAGCAUCAAACAUCAAGGAAGAUCAGUGUAGUCUUAACUAAAAUAUUCACUUGCAACUUUUCCUAGUAGUCUGCAUGCUGUAAUUCUGGCCUUUCAAAGACCAAUAUUUUUUUGAUAAUUUCCUAUAAAUUAACUCUUCAGGUGUCAAAAAUAUAUGCAGUGAAACUCUAUAUAAACUUUUUAAAUAAUUGACAAAAAUUAAUGUUUUUAUAGCGUAGAUGGGAGAUGCAUGUUUGGCCAUUGCAAGAUGUUCUGUAGCAAAAAAUCUAGUGAGAAAUUUAUGAAAAAUGAAAAAAAAAAGUGCAAAAAGUUAUUCUAAAUUAAUACAUACAAUGCGUAUGUGGAAUUUUCUUAGCCUUGGCAUGACAAAUUAACAGUAGUGGUUUGUGGAAGAAGCCGCCAACUACCAUCGAUCAACUAGUAUAGGUGAGGGGUGGUAUUAAAAAUAAUUUUUUAAAAAUUAAAAUAUUAUUUUAAUAUAUUAAAAAAAAAUACGAUCAUUAUUUUAAUUUCAAACAUCCCUGAAGAAGUGUCAUUGCCAUGAUAAAUUUGACAGUAGUGGUUCCAACUUCCAACUGCAAUCAACCGAUUAAUAAUUGCGAGGGAGUGAUCCUCUGUUUUAAGGUUGAAUGUAUCUCAUCAUUCCACAAGACACUUCAUUUCGAUGCUGAUUGGUUAUGAGUAAAAGUUUUAAUUUUUUAAUUAAUAUUUUCUUUUAUUUUUUAAGAUAUAUGGUGAUGGUAUAAAAAAAAUAAAAAAAAAAUUAUUUUCAUAUAUUUUCAAAUAAAAAAUAUUUUUAAAAAUAAUCUUUACCAUAAUCUUUAAUAUUUCACACCAUACUUUUCUCUUUUCGUGCUCAAUAUUUUUUUUAUUUUUAAAUAUUUAUAUUUAGUAAUAGUUUUUUUUUUUCAUUAUGAUUUAGGUAUGGUUGUGAAAUUCAUGAUAAUAUAUUGGAUAUUUAGUUUUUUUCCAUUCUGGGGUCAUUUUUUAUUUGUAAUUCAUAUGAAUUAUUAGUUAUUUAGUGAUUUGGGAUAACCUAAUCAAGUCGUGUAAAGUAUAAAUUACAUCGCGGCUUGAAACGUAGAAGAAAGGUCAAGCAAUAUCCUUAUGGGAUUCUUCUCAUUUCCAUCGCGGCUUGAAAUAGAGAGCCCAAAUAAGCAAGGGUAGUCUUGGAAUGGUCGACAUAUAAUUUUAUGGCUGAGGUGGAAAAUGCAUGUUAGGCCUUUGCAAGAUGUUCUCUGGAUACAAUGAGUUGCUAGGGAAGAUUACGUUCAAUGUAUCUCAUCAGUCCAAAACACACUUCAUUUCACAGUAUCCUUUUCAUGGAUACAAUGAGUUGCUAGGGAAGAUUACGUUGUUCACUGGUAAUUUUUUUCCCAUUUCACUAAUAUAAAACGAGAGCCUUGAAGAAGUGGUUGAUGUAAAUUUUCCUUGUUUUUAUUGGAUUUUUUUUGUGUUAUUUUGAAUUUUAAGUCAAUUUUCUUUUAUUUUUAUGAUUUUGAUCCCAUAGUCUAUUUAAAAUACAUAUGAGUUUCUCAUAUGUGAUCUUACCAAAUCGAACCCACCAACCACACCUCAUAAACAGAUGAGUUUCUCACCAAACUUGACACUUUCAUGCAUCAAUGCUUUGGUGUCUUCUCUUUUGAUCUUCGUUGUUGAAGUUUUCCCCUCUUCAUUUUUGUGCAGACAUGAAGAUGUGAAUCACUAUGAGUUGAAGGCACCACAUCCAAAAAUGGCUCACCCCUGGCCAGACCACUUCCCACUGCAAGUAGCCAUGGGUGCAGCAGGUGACGAUGCUGAGGCCAAAUUAGUGCACAGAAGGUGGACUAAUGGUACCCUUAAUUUCUUAUGCUUCCUACCAGUUCACAGCACCUAAAUAAAAUCUUCAUCAACAUUACAAGUGCUGCUGGAAUCCUUGUAGGCUGACAUUAUUAGCUAUAAAAUGAUAAUCUUGUGGAUAAUUAUAUGAAAGUACCCUAAACUGAAAAGAAAAAAAGGUAUUCAAAGUAGAUGGUUUUAGAACUUAGUUAAUUACAACAAAUUCUAAAUUUUUAACAAAUUUGUUAUAUAUCGAGAUGAUUUCUUAUCUUUAAUAAAUAGAUCCAUUUUAAUAAUACAUUGCAGUUAAUUUAUCCCUAAUUUCACAAAUCAACUCGUAAAUACUUGUUGCAUAUAUAGUUCACAUAUGCAAGCCAAACACAAAUAAAAAUUCUUUUUCUUGAGUUUUCUUAUUCCAGCUUCCAAAUUCUUAUUUUGAUUAGUAAUGUAAAAAAUUAAUUAUUUUUGUUAGAUUUAUUUUUAAUAGUUUUAAUAUACUAAUAUAAAAAAUAAAAAAUAAAUAAUCUAAAAUAAUUAUUUUAAUAUAAAUAAUCUAAAAUACAUAUAUUAGAUUCCAGGUGGAUUUCCAGCUAAUAUGAACGUCAGCCAAGCCAUCAUCAAGAAGAGCAAGGUAAAACAAAACUCAUCAAUUGGGUCCCUAAUAUUUGAAACAAAUGAAAAUUUACAAAAGCAAUAAUAAUGAAGAAUUUAUAUGUGAGAAAGACUGAUUUUGGAAUCUGAAUCUCCCUAUGAUGGAUCAGAAUUGCAUAACAUAAUCGCCUUAUUACAUAUUUUCUUGGUAAAUAUCUUUAGAAAAAUCAUUAUUAGUUGUAAUAUUGGGAAAGAAUUAUAUUGAACUGAUUUACAUUUAUUUAUUUGUUGUAUUCAAAAUAAAAAUAAUAUAUGUCACAGCAAUUCUGGAAACCAGGCACCAAGAAACCCCGCAUCCUCGAAGAGCAAGAAGGCGGUGUCGUUUUCUUUGCCCCCUCUCUCUUCCGCCUCCUCUUCCUCCGGGUUUGGAUAUGCAAGUACUGGGAGUCAAAGGCAGAGAUUGAUUUUUAAGCUGAUGGGAAUACAUUCACCUGAUGGAAAAUUCUAAGGAUGCAUUGGAGUCGGGACUUUUAAAUGCCAGUAUUAUCCAAGGAUGAUUACCAAAGGAAAGGUUUUAAAUUCUGCCUUCCAUGCAUGGACUCUAGCCUCAGCAUUCCGAAUCUUACCAUCUGUUUUAAACUAUGUGUUUGAGUUGCUUGUAAUCUUCAAUGAAUCGAAAUAAUCGAAAUACAACCAAUGGAAUUUCGAUUAGCUUCCUUAAAAAGUUUCAAACCUUUUUACAUUGCCUGAAUAAGGGUUUCUUCAUUCAGUCUGAUUCUUAUUAGUUUGAUGACGUGAAUUUAACUAGCCUUUAUCUGAAAGUUUUGGGAGGUUUUGAAUUGAAUGAUAAGGAAGCACAGAUUAUCAGAAAGGUUUAAGAGAUUUGGUGAGGGAAAUUAGGGAAUCAAUAAGAAAUUAGGCUUAGAGGAAGACUAGCAAUUAAAGUCAUUGCAAUUUGCAAGCAACUUAAUGUUUUUUUACUCUAAAGAAAUAAAACAGAGGUGCGAAUCCCUUGUGCUUUCUUUGUCCUGUAUGCAAUGAUUACUCUCAUGGAAACCACCAUGCAAACUUCAUGUCACUUUCUGCUUUAUUUAUUCACACUAACUAUUCAACGAGUUCACAUUACACUGCUUUAAGUCCUCGAGUCUAAUGAAUUAAUGAAGAUAGAAACUUCAAAGAAAAUCACUUGGCUAGAAAUAACAUACUUCAGUACUGGAGUCUGCAGCUAGCAUGGAUAAAAAAACUAUCUCCUUCCUUGUUAGAGAGGGCUCUGACAUUGCUUCCCAUCUGGCACACUGUAACUUGCAGAUCCGUUUGGCUUUUGAGCUGUGGACUCCCCAUCACUUCAACUGAUUUGUUGUUUCUUUGACCACAAGAUGUUGAUUGUCUAGGGAAAUUCCAAGGACGCAUUGGGGUCAGAACUUUUAAUUGCCAGUAUUAUCCAAGGAUGAUUACAUACUGCAUGCUUCUAAGACAAAUAAAAAAUGUAUCAGUUCAUUUAAUGUAUUAGUUCUAAUUAAGUCAUUAAACAUAUUUGCUAGUUCGUGAUCAUUCCAAUUUUCUUGUUGCUGCUGUUGUCCAUUAACUCUCGUAUUUCUUGACUUAUCUGUCAGUAAAAUGAUUAAUGUUUCUUUCAAUUUUUAUGCCUGCAUAACGUAUCAGGAUAAAUACAGCAUUAGUGAUGCGAUCCAAUCAUUAAAGAAUCCAUUGGAAGUUCCUGUUAGUCCAGUUACUAGGUUUAGAGUCAGCUAAGAAGUUCAAAGAAGCUUUCAAUAGACUUCUUCAGGAGACAUGGGCUAAGAUAGACUUCAAGAGGAUUUGUAAUAAUAAAGAGCAAGCCUUGAUUAAUCUGAUUAAUGUUCAAGAGGGGCUUGUUGGUAGAACCAAGACCAUUACACAAGGAUUGAGAGAAGAAGACUAAAUUCGGAGAGUUUAACCUUUUGUUACUCUUUUGGUCAUAAUUGGAGCUAUAGAUAUAUUUUUUAUGUGAUUCAAGUUGUUCUGAAAACUAGACUUCCAUACCUUUCCAACGGUAUAUGGCAUGUCUUCUAAUUCAUUAAGAUGAGAGAGAACCAUUUGUUUUAAGUUGAACUUUUGCUGCUGCUCCCAUACAAAAUGCGGAAACAACAAAAUUAUCUUAUUUAAUUUGUUGGGCUAUCAAACUUCAUUUAUUUUGAGAGGAGACAUUUUAUUUAGGUCUUAGACUUGUUUAUUUUAAUUAGUUUGGGCUAGUUUUAACUUGGGUUGAUUAUUAUUUAAAUUAGGCUUAUGUGAGACCCAUUAGGAAAACUAGGGUUUUGGCUUGGAGUUUAAAUAUUCUUUAGGAAUAAUUUUAGGGCAGACUUGUGAUGAUAUUUUCAGCAUUGUAGCUGAUUUUUUGGUUGCUCAAUCUUGGUUCUUGAUUGAACUUUCAACUCUUCAAAGAAUUGACUAUUUUUUGUUGUGAAUUUAUACUUUCUUUGCUCGUCUCCAGGUGUAGGCGUUGUGAUCGAAUUGGUUUAUAUUCUUGUUGCUUUUGAGCAAGUUUUUCAUUGUGAUAAGCUCAUUCAAAUCUUAACAAACUUGGAUUAGAUUGAUUUUGAAGUCGUGAAUUCCAUUAAAUUCCGCUAGGAUUCGUAUCACUUGGUAUUGUUGCCGACAAGAGUUUGAAAAAGCCUCUCUAUACCUCUCCACGUUUGAACAAGGGAGAAGUUCUAUAUUUAGAAACACAUUCAUGCAGGUACUCCCUCUCUUUUUUUCUUUUUUUUUUGUGCUUUCUAAUUUGAAAAAAUAUGUUAAAAAAUAAAAUAAAUCAUAAAAACACUAAAUCUAUAUAAGUUUAUGUACAUCACAAACAGAUUUUGGAGCUUAAAAAAAUUCCCUUGUGAAAUAAAUUAAAUAAAUAUGAAGUUUCAGUUUUCUUCAUCUUAUGUUCUUAUUUUUUGAGAGGGUCCUUGGCUACUAGAAACAAGAAUCACACCCCUAUGGGUUCAGUAGCUUUAUUCAGCCAUGCCAUCUCAGAUUCAUCCAAAUAAGGGGCCAGAAUAUCCCUACAUCUCCCAUGGUAGCUGUUAAGCCAAUUUAUCACUUCAGGACCUAGACGGGUAAAGUCGAUCAUCUUCGUUUGAUAUGAAUUUUGUGCUCGAAAGAUAAGUAGCCCUAUUGUCACCAAAAUUGAAUUUUGUAUCGGCCUCCUUGACGAUAAGCACAUUCUCCAAUCUUAUCCCGAAGUUCCCAUCCUCAUAGUAUCCAGGUUCAUCUGUUACAGUCAUGGAAGCUAAUUACGAGCAUGUGGUCUGUUACAGUUCACCAAAAUCCUUCAUGUACAUUUAGGUAUGAUCCAAUACCAUGACCAGUGCCAUGUCGAUAAUCAAGAGUCCAAGACCAUCCUUCCAUAAAGGAAUUCGAGCAAGAAUGUCAAGGGCAUGACCGUUAGUUCCGUUGAGAAAACAAGCAUUACCCAAAGCAAUGUGACCCUUGAGAACCUGGUUUGCUGGAGACGAAGUUGAUGAUGGUGUCCUGGCUAGCCAAUGCUACCCCCUGUUUCUGUUCUUUGUUUUUUUUCGGUGUUUUUUGGUUUUUUAUCUAUUAAAUAUAAAUUAUAUCUUGAGAAUUCAUCUAAUAAUUUAAAAUAUUAAAUUAAAAUAAUUCUUUGACAUAUUCAAUCUGAUAAAUACAUUUUGCCUUAAAAAAAAAAAGGGCAGCACGCGUUUUUUUCAAUUAUGGAAAAAAAAAUUAUUUUUUUUUUUCCUGAGAAGAAAUAACGAUCCAUCUUAAUUAAAGGCCUUCAGAUUUCAACACAUGAAGGGAUGCAUACAUAUCCCAGGAAUUAACAAUGGAGGAGGGAUAACUUUUAAUUGCCACUGAUUUCUUGACAAAACGCACCGUACUAAGCUGUUGUUAAGCCGUUACUUAUGCGCACCGUUUCAAUAAAUUGUAAUUCUCAUUACUGAGAAGGUUGUCAAAUCAGCACCAUCUUCUGCUCUGCCUAAAUAUCGUGGCAGUUGUAACAGAAUGGGCAUGCAAAAAAUGAAUGAGAACUGCUGUGGAUUCCCUCUUUUCUCUCCGUCUUUCUCUCGCUCCCGCUCUCUCCUUCUCUGUCUUCUCAAUCUUUCAGGUUCAACACAUAUUGGAGGAUUCUUAAUCGGGUUGUUACCUAUAGAUCGUACGUGAUCUUAUACACAUGUGAUGUAUGCAGGAAUAAUAUUGGUCUUUAAAUGGUUUUAUUUCUUAAAUAAAUCAAAGAAUUUAAGUUCUUUUCUUUUCUUUUUUUGUUUAAAAACAAUCUACUAGACUACUUUAUCCGUACCAAAGUAUUUGAGCAAUCGAAACAAAAUUAUUGUGUCACGGCCUGAUUCUCGGAUCCAUAACUAACACAUAGACAAGAUUCCCUUCCAAGAUCCUAUACUUAUAUGAAUAUAAAAUAUACAUAUUUAAAAGAGACUUGAAAAGAAGGUACAACCUGUAAUGUUUUGAAUUAAAAGAGAUAGGAAAAGGCAACAAAGCCCUUGGAGGCUUAAAUAGAGGGUAUAAAAGAAUGAGGGGUAUAAUGAGAUAUUCUGGACAGAAUUAAGGAUUAAUUAUGGUCAGAAUUUUAGUAUAGUCAUGGAUUUAUGAUAUUUUUAGUUUGGUCUUUCAAUUUGACAAAAAUUACAAUUUGACCCUUAAAAAUAUGAAAAAUUACAAAUUGGUCCCUAGCUUUAAUAUUAGCUUUUGCAGAUUGGUUUGAUGAAUAAUUGAGGGUUAUUUAGUGAAUUAUUACCAAAUUUAUUAUUUGUUUUAUUAUGGAUUAGAUUUCGGAAAAACCGUUAGAUUUUUUAGUUUUUGAAAAAAUAACCAGUUUAAUCUAAAAAUAUAUAUAGGGAUCUUAUACCAGAUAUUGGAGGAUUCUUAAUCGGGUUGUUACCUAUAGAUCGUGAUCUUAUACCAGCUUUGUGAUGUAUGCAGGAAUAAUAUUGAUCUUUAAAUGGUUUUAUUUCUUAAAUAAAUAAAAGAAUUUAAGUUAAUCUCAUUUCUUUUUUGUUUAUAAAAAAUCUACUAGACUACUCUAUCCGUACCAGAGUAUUUGAGCAACCAAAAUAAAAUUACUAUGUCACGACUCGAUUCUUGGAUCCAUGACCGGCACAUAGCUAAGAUUCCCUACAAGGUUCUAUAUUUCUGUGAACCCAAACUCACAUGCAAACUUAUACUUUAAAUAACUCAAUAGGAGUUCAACGCAACAGUAAUAACAAAACUAACUUUAUAAUAUAAUUUGAUUAUCUUAAUACAAGACUUAAUUCAAAUUACACCCAAAAAAACAUGUUUUGAAGAUCCAACAAAAGUAACCUGAUAAUAAGUUAUAAGCCUAAAAUAAAUAAAUAAUAUGAGGGUGAUUUCAACAACUCAGUGAGUAGGUAACGUUUAAUAUACAUAUACGAGCUAGGUAAUACAACAAUAAGUAAUAUAUAUAUAUAUAUACACACACACACACACACACCCACGCGCGCGCGCACAACUAUGGCUUUAUGUUCUUAUAAGAAGAUUUCUCAAAUAGGUCAUAACAAGAAUAUCAUAAGGUAAAGCUCCUCAGAAAAUCAAAAUGUAAUAAGCAUGAGGCUUCAUAUUGUGGGAUGAUCAGUCCACACAGGUUGGUGACUCCCCCGACCAACUAGGGUUUUAGAUACGAUGUGCACAAAGACUAAUACUACGUUGUUAGCAUGGGUAUUCUGACUGGCAUACCAUAGGUUCAUAUCAUAAUCAAAUAAAGAUAUUCAUAUUUCAAGGCACAACUUAUAACAUCAAUCAAAUGAUGAGCUUUGAACUCAGAAGUCAAUUCAAAAAUAUGUAUUGGUUCAUAUCAAGAAUUUAGAUUUAAUAAUUGAUCAUUUUUUAUCGUAACAAAAAUAAUAUUCAACAUAUAUUAUCAAAAAGCAUGAUCCAAAUCAUAUUAACAACUUAAAUAUUUGUACCAUAUGAAAAAUUAUUCACUCACUUAACUGAAAAGCAAACAGAACUCGAAAGUAGAUACCGAAGGAAAGCCUACUGAUGUGUCUCAGGUAGAAUAUCAUGAUUAUUUAAAUACAAAGGAGACAUAUUAAAAAAAAGACUAAAAAAGAACGUACAACUUAUUUAAUACACUUAACUAAGAGUUUGUUCCAUAACCUUAUAUGUUUUGAACUAAACUAGUCUUUUUUUUUUCAAAACCCAAAAAUUAAACGGUUUUCUUGAAAUCUAAUUCAUAAAAAAACAAAUAAUAAGACUCGAUAAUAAUUAAUUAAAUAAUCCUUAAUUAUUCAUCAAACCAAUCUGAAAAGGCUAAUAUUACAGCUAGGGACAAAAUAGAAUUUUAGGAGUCAAAUUAAUUGGAGGACCAAAUUGAAAAUAUCAUAAAUUCAUAACUAUAUUGGAAGUUUGCCCAUAAAUCAUUCUCAAUUUUGUCUAGAAUCUCUAAUUAUGCUGGAAUUUUUGUUAAAUUUUUAGGGGUCAAAUUGUAAUUUUUUCAAAUUAGAGGGUCAAACUGAAAAUGUUAUAAAUUCAUAAAUAUAUUGGAAUCUUGCCCAUAAUUCACCCUCAAUUCUGUCCAGAAUCUCUAAUUAUGCUACAGGGACCAUUUUAUAAUUUUUUCAAAGUUCAGGGACUAAACUGUAAUUUUCAUAAAUUAAUAGAUCAAACUGAAAUUUCAUCAUCUUCAACCUUAAACUCAGAUUUUUUCAUAGAUUACCUCCUGAUUUACCAAAAUCUCUAACUCAAACUCAUCAUUUAAACAGAUCAUAACUCAAAAUCAUCAUUUUUAUCUAAAAUCUUUCAAAAUCAACUAAAUAACUCAUUACCCAAAAUAAUUAACCCAUAAUAUUCAAAUCAAUUCAUCAAUCAACUCAAAACAAAAUCUUCAAAAUCUAAUCUUCAACAAAACAGUAAAUCAAAGCUAAAAAAACAUAUUUAUACACAUCAAAAUAUAAAUAUUACAUUUUAAACUUAUUUUCUCUAACUCUCUUCUCUUUUAUUUAUCUUUCCCUCUUUCCUCCUCUUCUUCUUCCUACCCUUUUCUUUUCUCUUGCUUGUUCUCACUCUCAAAUUUCAAAUCCCUCUUUCUUUUUUCCUUCUAUUUAUACUUAGUAAGGUUUUAUUCAAUUACUAAAAUACUCCUUAUUCAUUUAUAUAUACUUUUAAACCUUCAAAGGUUUUGUUGCCUUUUUUCCUAUUCUCUUUUAUUUUCAAAACAUUACACACUGCAACUUUGAAUAUUGGGAAAUCUGGCAUUUGAUGGGAGAAUUAAAAAAAAUAAAAUUAAAAGUGAAGAAAAGUGUGAAUUUGAUAGGAGAACAGAGGAGUAUAGAGCAGCAGAGCCUAAUAAUUCAUAACAAUUUUAGGAUGUGAGUAUAGAGAAAAAUUAGAGAAAAUAAAGAUGGAGGGAGCAAAAGAAGGGUGGCUGAUUGUCUUUAGAGAAUGCUAUUUUAGAUUUAAGAUUAAAAAAAAUACUUAUUUAUACUUAUUUUUUUUAAGUGUUAAAUAAUGAUUUAGUUGAAUUGGUUCGGUUAAACCAAUUUUAAAAAUUAAAAACCUAAACUGAAGUCAACCAGAAAUUUUUUUGAUUUUUUAAUUAGUUAAUUUUUUUUCUUUUCAGUUCAGUGUUUUUUUUUUAUUUUUUUUAUUUAAUCAGUUAUUCCAUUUUUUCCUCAUCCCUACUAGCAGCUGACCAGAGUACUGUUAUUUCUGGCCAAGUGAUUUUCUUUGGAGUUUCGAUCUUCAUUAAUUGUUCUCAUGAAUCUGGUUUUUUUUAAUUAAAAAGUACAUAACACCUUUGUUUUAGCAUCUAACAGUAGACUCGAAGGAUUUGAAGCAGUGUAAUUAUGUGAACACGUUGAAUAGUUAGUGCGAAUAAAUAAAGCAAUAGAUUCAUGAAAGUGACAUUGGUGGUUUCCAGGAGGCAGUGAGACUAGUCUUUGCAUACAGCACAAAGAAAGCACAAGGCAUUUACAAUUAUUGACUAAAAACAAGCUUGCUGUUUACCUUUGGUAGGUGGAGUUGUAGCUUCCAGCCAAUUUCUAUUGACUUCUCCAAAGAAAAAAACAUAAAGUUGCUUGCAAAUUGCAGUGACUUUUUUAAUAGCUAGUCUUCCACUGAGAGAGAGAUCUCUCAGUAUACCAUUGAUUUCCUAAUUUCCCUCACCAAAUCUCUUAAACCUUUCUCAUGAUCUGUGCUUCCUUUUUCUGAUUGAAUCGAAUCAUCACGUAUUCUGUUCUUGAUCUGUAUACCAUUGAUUUCCUGAUUUCCGUCACCAAAUUUCUUAAACCUUUCUCAUGAUCUUUGCUUCCCUUUUCCUAAUUUCCCUUUUCUGACUUCUGCCAAUCAUCUCGUAUAGUGUUCUUGAUCUGUCUCUUUCUUGCUUGAAAGGUAAAUCCUACUUUCUUUUCUUGUUUUUCUACCACUAAUUUUGUUUCAAAUAAGAUUUGCCCAUUUGGUUGUAGAAUUAAUAAGUAGGAUUGUAGAUUGAUCAAUCAGGUAGAACUUAAUUUUAUAUGUGUUGCUUGAUCUAUUUUAGAACUCAAAAGUCAUAUUUAUCUUUGUUCUUACAUAUUGCCAUCAACUUAAACUAUUUAUCUUGAAAACAGCUGCUCUCAAGGUUUCUUUUGUCUGUUAAGUGCCUCUUGUCAGCUUGACAGGUGACUAGUUUGCCUACUCUUUCUCAUAUUCUUGUGCUUACAUUUUCAGAUCAGCUUUCCCAGAGUUUCAACAUUGGGGCGCGUCCACACGUUUCCCCACUCAGCAAUUAGCUUCAGAUUCUUUUGUUAAAAUUCUUUUGAAUCCAGGUAAAGUGUUUAUACUUCAUCUUCUUCAUUUUGUUGCUGUCUUUGUUUUUGACAAGUAACUAUUGUUUGAAUCUUUUUAAGUAAAACACAAGUUGUACAAAUUUUAUUGAGAAACUUUGGAUUUUGUAUCAUCAAUAGUUUCCAAAUAUAAAUAAAUUGAUCUUUCUUAGUUUUAUAAAUAAAUUGCCUUAUGGAGUUCAUACCAAAUUCAUUUUUUUUUCUUUUUAUAUUCUUUGCUGUUUUUAACUUAUUAUUUUAGUUUCAACCUUUCCUUUUCUGAUCGAUGUAACUUACAUUAAUUUUAUUCAAUAUUUUGACUCUGUUUUUAUAUAUAGGGCAAAAUGGUUCAAUCAAACGACCCAUUUUGGCACCAUGUUGCGGAGAUGAAGUGUAUGUAUUGUGGGCAUCAAUUUGCUAAGGAUACUUCCAUUUCAAGGAUCAAAUGGCAUUUAUCAGGAGAGAAAGGGCAUGGUGUUGCAAUUUGUGAAAGAGUUCCUAAACAAGUUCAAGAAGCAGCUUUUCUCGCUAUGCAUGGUGCCAACAAAAGACAUAAAAGCAUAGCAAGUUCAAGCAAUGUUAAUGAUAAUGCCAUUUCAACCACUCCACAAGAACAAAACAAUAAUGAAGUCGACAAGUUGGCAGGAGAUGCAGGAAAGACACAAGCAGCAGAUAGAAUGGAUCACGCACUUGAAAAACGUAUGGAAGAGCUCAGUAAAUUGUUAAUGGAGGAUGAUAUAGAGAAUGGGACUGGAGGAGUAGUGCAGCCUGGUGCAGGAGCUAGCUCUUCUGGAGGGCUUACAGGCGACACAAAUGAGAUUCCAGGAGACGCAGUACCAACGACAAAGCUGGUGGGUCAAGCAUUCAAAGACCAUAAGAAGACUAUCUGGACUUGGUUGAUGCACGAUGAAGUUUCAACUAUUGGCAUCUAUGGGAUGGGCGGAGUGGGAAAGACGACAUUGGUGAAACAUAUAUAUGACCAGCUUCAAAAAAGACGAGACAGUUUCUGCAAUGUUUACUGGAUUACUGCUUCACAAGACACUAACAUUAAUUAAUUGCAAACAGUAUCGCCAGACGGAUUGGUGUAGAUCUCUCUAAUGAAGAUGAGGAGCUGUAUAGAGCUGCUGAAUUGUCUCAAGAAUUAUCGAAGAGACAGAAAUGGGUUUUGAUUUUAGACGAUUUGUGGAAGGCUAUUGAGCUACACAAGGUGGGAGUCCCUAUCCAAGCUGUUAAGGGAUGCAAGCUGAUCGUUACAACACGAUUAGAAAAUGUUUGUCAGCAGAUGGGUAAACAACACAUAAUCAAAGUGGAGCCUAUUUCGCAGGAAGAAGCUUGGGCUUUGUUUAUUGAGAGACUUGGACACGACACAGCACUUUCUCCAGAAGUGGAACAAAUUGCAAAAUCUGUAGCAAGGGAAUGUGCUGGUUUGCCGCUAGGAAUUAUAACCAUGGCUGCAACCAUGAGGGGAGUGGUUGACGUACGUGAGUGGAGCAAUGCAUUGGAGGAAUUGAAAGAAUCAAAAGUUAGAAAAGAUGAUAUGGAGCCUGACGUAUUCUACAUAUUGAGAUUUAGUUAUAACCAUCUAAGUGAUUCAGAACUGCAACAAAGUUUCUUGUACUGUGCAUUAUUCCCGGAGGACUUCAAGAUCCGUAGAGAGGAUUUGAUAGCUUAUUUGAUUGAUGAGGGAGUGAUAAAAGGGCUAAAGAGUAGGGAGGCAGAAUUUAACAAAGGCCACUCGAUCCUUAAUAAACUUGAAAGAGUCUGCCUAUUGGAAAGUGCUGAGGAAGGGUAUGUCAAGAUGCAUGACUUGAUUAGGGACAUGGCCAUCCAAAUACUACAAGAGAACUCUCAAGGCAUGGUCAAAGCAGGUGCACAGUUAAGAGAAUUGCCGGGAGAAGAGGAGUGGACAGAGCAUCUUAUGAGAGUUUCACUGAUGCAUAACGAGAUUAAAGAAAUUCCUUCCAGCCAUUCACCAAGGUGUCCCAGUCUUUCAACUCUAUUGUUACGUGGAAAUUCAGAGUUGCAAUUUAUAGCAGAUUCAUUUUUUGAGCAGUUGCGUGGACUCAAGGUUCUUGAUCUGUCUUAUACAGGUAUCACAAAACUACCUGAUUCUGUCUCUGAAUUGGUGAGUCUCACUGCAUUACUGCUCAUUGAUUGUAAGAUGUUAAGGCAUGUACCGUCAUUAGAAAAGCUCAGGGCACUGAAGAGGUUAGAUCUCUCUGGUACUCGGGCACUUGAAAAGAUUCCUCAAGGCAUGGAAUGUCUAUGCAACCUGAGGUAUCUUAGAAUGAAUGGAUGUGGUGAAAAGGAGUUUCCUAGUGGGUUGUUACCUAAGCUCUCUCACCUGCAAGUCUUUGUAUUGGAGGAGUGGAUUCCGAUAACAGUUAAAGGAAAGGAAGUGGCAUGGUUGAGGAAGUUGGAAAGUUUGGAAUGCCAUUUUGAAGGUUACUCAGACUACGUGGAGUAUCUCAAAUCUCGGGAUGAAACCAAAUCACUAACCACAUACCAAAUUCUUGUAGGACCACUGGAUAAGUAUCGUUAUGGUUAUGGUUAUGAUUAUGAUCAUGAUGGUUGCAGAAGGAAAACAAUUGUUUGGGGUAACUUGAGUAUCGACAGAGAUGGAGGUUUUCAGGUCAUGUUUCCAAAGGACAUUCAACAAUUGACUAUUCAUAAUAAUGAUGAUGCAACAAGUUUAUGCGAUUGUUUAUCUCUAAUAAAGAAUGCAACUGAACUGGAGGUUAUCAACAUUAGGUGUUGCAAUAGCAUGGAGAGCUUCGUUUCAUCUUCUUGGUUCCGCUCUGCUCCACUACCAUCUCCAUCUUACAACGGUAUAUUUUCUGGUCUUAAACGGUUUAAUUGUUCUGGUUGUAAGAGCAUGAAGAAGUUGUUCCCUCUUGUCUUGCUGCCAAGCCUCGUAAACCUGGAAGAUAUUACAGUUAGAAGAUGUGUGAGAAUGGAGGAGAUAAUAGGUGGAACAAGACCAGAUGAAGAGGGGGUUAUGGGUAGCAGCAGCAAUAUCGAAUUCAAACUCCCAAAGUUACGAUAUCUGAAAUUGGAGGGAUUACCAGAACUGAAAAGCAUUUGUAGUGCAAAAUUGAUUUGCGAUUCUAUCGAAGUAAUUGUCGUAAGCAAUUGCGAGAAGAUGGAGGAGAUAAUAAGUGGAACAAGAUCAGAUGAAGAAGGGGUUAAGGGUGAAGAAAGCAACAGCUGUAGCAUCACCGAUCUCAAACUCACAAAAUUAAGGUCUCUAACAUUGAGUGAAUUACCAGAACUGAAAAGAAUUUGUAGUGCAAAACUAAUUUGUAAUUCUCUCCAGGUGAUUGCAGUUGCAGAUUGUGAGAAUCUGAAGAGGAUGCCAAUUUGUCUCCCGUUGCUUGAAAAUGGCCAGCCAUCUCCUCCCCCUUCUCUUAGAAAAAUUGUAGCAUAUCGAGAAUGGUGGGAGUCAGUAGUGGAGUGGGAGCAUCCUAACGCUAAGGAUGUCCUUCGUCCCUUUGUAGAGUUUUUUGUGUGCUGACGACAGUGCCCUUAAUAUAAUAUUAAAUUAAGAGUAAGCAUUGUUGUUUUAAUUGGAUUAAGCUUAAGCUAUGUGUCUACUUAAUGACUGAUGUGUUUAUUAUAUCAAUAGGUUUGACAUUUAUUUAGAGAGUAAAACAUCAAAUGCAAGA